Oryctolagus cuniculus (rabbit) is the source of this 1040-nucleotide non-coding RNA. The record is from RefSeq and is a predicted model, not a curated record. Lineage: Eukaryota; Metazoa; Chordata; Mammalia; Lagomorpha; Leporidae.
UGUUGCUGGGUUUGAUCGCUAAACCUCCUCCCCAUUCCAGCUUCAGGACACAGGGCGAUAAAUCAAGUAAUGGGGGCCCUGCACCCACCUGGGAGAACUGGCUCCCAGCUUUGGCCUUGUCCCGUCUCUGGCCAUUUUCAGUAUUUGGGAAUUGAACCAGUGAAUGAGAGCUCAGUCUCUCUCUGUCUAGUCUCUCUCUCUCUCUUUGCCUCUCAAACUUUUUUAGAAAAUAGCAAAGUGCUUUUAAGUUGGGCCUCUGGAGUCAGACCAGUUCAAAUUCCAGCUCUACUCUGUUGUUGGUGGGGGUUAGGUUUGGCUGCAAAUGCCAGAGAUGCCCCCCCCCCCCCCCAACAGCGGCUUAGACAAGUGAACCCUCUGUUUCUCUUUCAUGUCCAAGUCGAAGGAUAAGGUCUCAGGACUGCAAGUCGAUUGAGCUCUGUGGUGUCGUCUGGGACCCAGGCUUCUGCUACCUGUGACCCUGCCAUUCAUGGCCUUGGUCAUGUCCUGGCUCUGGCCUGUCUGGCUCCUGCUGUCAUGCCCUCAUUCCACCAGCAGGGAGGAAAGGCGAGAAGGCUGACAAUUCCAGGAAGUCGCCGGAGAUCCGGUUGCAGGGGAGAGUCUCCGCUAUCCUCGCUAGAGCUGUGUGACGUUGGGGAGUGAGGAUAAGUCCUGAGCAACCUUGAGAUGAACCAUAAAGAGGAUGACAGAGAAGUUUCCGUAAGAUCCUGCUCAGCAACCAGACUUCAAAAUUCAACCCGUUCCAGGGGGCGGGACUGAGGCUGUAACCAGGAGGCAAUAAAUGAACUUGGCCUACAGUGACUGCAUUAGUAUGCUUGCAUUUUGAAUUCUCUCCAAAUAGAACUGACCUUAAAAGCAACGGGAACAUCCUCUGCCUUCCUGCUUGUGUUUGCUUCUCAAAGCUGUUAGCAAUUCUCAUCUCCAGGGUGCUCUUCCUGAGGGGAUGGGGCAAGAAGCUCCAGGGUGAGGGCUCCCACUUGGCCCCCAGCAGGAGCUGGGCUGGGGGCUCUGCCCAGGCUGUG